AAGAGCGACCUCAGUGUGCUCUGAACCGUGGACGUGAGAGUGUGUGUUUGUGUGCUGCGUGAACUAUUUUUCCUGCGUGAAACACUUUCCAUACUGCGCCAUCCGCGGUGUUCUUUCUGCUUUAUCGGAGGACAAAUUGUUAUCAUCUAAUUGUUUCGAUGUGUGCUGCUACCGCUAGCUGUUCUCCAAACCUCUUCAAAUUGCGACACUGUGUGCACAGGCGUUCAAGGUUCAAUUGAUCCUCGAGCACAAAGCCUUCAUACAACACUGCGGUCGAGGCGCGUCAAAUCUGAUGACAUCUUUCCUGAACCAAGCAGGCUGAACACGCGCACCACCACGGGCUGUGAGUGUGAAGCAGCUAGACUGCCGCAACCAAAUCAAGAGAGUAAAUUCUCAUUUCAAUCCGAAAAACUGGGAGAGAGUGAUCCCUACAAACAACGAGCGGAAUAUUUUAUCAUGGUGUGUGUAAAAACCUAGAGUUAAGCGGAGAAUCGGUGUGAA
Long non-coding RNA from Anopheles merus, 501 nucleotides. RefSeq lists it as uncharacterized. The transcript is spliced from 3 exons. Lineage: Eukaryota; Metazoa; Arthropoda; Insecta; Diptera; Culicidae. The record is from RefSeq and is a predicted model, not a curated record.